AACGAACGCUGGCGGCAUGCCUAACACAUGCAAGUCGAACGAGACCUUCGGGUCUAGUGGCGCACGGGUGCGUAACGCGUGGGAAUCUACCCUUGGGUUCGGAAUAACAGUUAGAAAUGACUGCUAAUACCGGAUGAUGACGUAAGCCCAAAGAUUUAUCGCCCAAGGAUGAGCCCGCGUAAGAUUAGCUUGUUGGUGGGGUAAUGGCCUACCAAGGCGACGAUCUUUAGCUGGUCUGAGAGGAUGAUCAGCCACACUGGGACUGAGACACGGCCCAGACUCCUACGGGAGGCGGCAGUGGGGAAUAUUGGACAAUGGGCGAAAGCCUGAUCCAGCAAUGCCGCGUGAGUGAUGAAGGCCUUAGGGUUGUAAAGCCCUUUUACCAGGGAUGAUAAUGACAGUACCUGGAGAAUAAGCUCCGGCUAACUCCGUGCCAGCCGCCGCCGUAA
This 449-nucleotide ribosomal RNA is filed under the name uncultured bacterium. RNAcentral describes it as "partial 16S ribosomal RNA". It matches the Rfam family "Bacterial small subunit ribosomal RNA", at positions 29 to 523 of the family's 1533-position model. The record is from RNAcentral.